UGCGGCGUGGUAACACAUGCAAGUCGAACGAGAGAGAGAGAGAAGCUUGCUUUUCUUACGAUCGAGUGGCAAACGGGUGAGUAACGCGUAAACAACUGCCCCGCAGAUGGGGACAACAGCUGAAAACGGCUGCUAAUACCGAAUACGGUCCUCUUAGCGCAUGGUAAGAGGAAGAAAGGGUGGCCUCUGGAACAAGCUACCGCUGCGGGAGGGGUUUGCGUCUGAUUAGCUGGUUGGAGGGGUAACGGCCCACCAAGGCGACGAUCAGUAGCCGGUCUGAGAGGAUGAACGGCCACAUUGGAACUGAGACACGGUCCAGACUCCUACGGGAGGCAGCAGUGGGGAAUCUUCCGCAAUGGGCGAAAGCCUGACGGAGCAACGCCGCGUGAGUGAAGACGGCUUCGGGUUGUAAAGCUCUGUUAUAGGGGACGAACGGCCGGGUAGCGAAG
This 449-nucleotide ribosomal RNA is filed under the name Megasphaera geminata. RNAcentral's name for it is "bacterial SSU rRNA". It matches the Rfam family "Bacterial small subunit ribosomal RNA", at positions 39 to 465 of the family's 1533-position model. Lineage: Bacteria; Bacillati; Bacillota; Negativicutes; Veillonellales; Veillonellaceae. The record is from RNAcentral.